Non-coding RNA from Struthio camelus australis, 551 nucleotides. NCBI's taxonomy places the organism in Eukaryota, Metazoa, Chordata, Aves, Struthioniformes, Struthionidae. The record is from RefSeq and is a predicted model, not a curated record.
AAUCCAGAGGCAGUUCAUCUGGAGAGCCAUAAGCAAGGCAAACCGUCUCCAUCCUGCCCUGCACAAAUGAAGCCACCUAUCCUGCUCUCUCUGCAAUAUCGAGUCUGUACUGGGGGGCAUUGCCACAAUGCACGUGGUUUUCAUCACUGCUAAGAAGUUUUCAGUUCUGCCACCAGACGGAAGGAAACGCGCGCACCCAGAUCCCACUCCAGCAGCGCCACAGUCCUGUUGUUUUCUGUUGACUUCUGUGAAACUACCUGUGCUUGAAGAUCACCGUGUGGUUUUGCAUCUCGCUGAACUGAAGCCUAAGCAAACUCCAGAAAGUCAAACUGGGAGAUGCUGGCCGAGCCCAGCACAGCACUCCGGCUUCCUGGCUGUCCACUUCAGGACCCCAAAUUCAAGCUAUUUUGUCCUCAACAGAUUUGCCCCCGAACUGUCUCUAGGACGUGCCCGGCCUCUGUAGGAAAGGGAAGCUUCUUGGUAUGAGAGAAGAGAUGCACGUCUGUGACCACAUCCCACCGUUGCAGGCAGUGACAGCCGGCAGCUGCUGC